AUGAAAAGAGAAUUUUCUUCUGAAGAAUUAAGCAAAGCUUCAGAAAGGAAGAUGGCUAUUUCAAAAUGAGAUUGAAGAUAAAGCAGUGUGAUUUCUCAGUACCUUGGAUCAGUGAGACUGAAACCAGGCUACACCCGCUUUUGUUGCUGCAAAAUGUGAAGUUGUUUUUGCAGUCAAGGAUGUGCACUUACAAAGUCCUUAUCAGGACUAGCCCAGAAGGCUGCACAGCUUUGCAGAACCUGCUCCUUACAACAGCCCCUAUUGCAAAUCCUUCGAAAGCAGCAACUGAAGAGAUUCCCCUGCAGAGAGGGAGAUGGCGAAACUAGAAUUGAGCAGGAAAACAAACCUACCCAGCGCGAUGGAAGAGCUGAGGUAUUCAGCUCGGGUCAUGGAAGUUUGCAUGGAAUUCCUUGGGCGUAGAGGAGAUAACCCAACUACCACAAGUAUCUGAAGUAAUAACGAAACAUUUCAGUGAGAACUAAGUUAAAUUAGAGUCCAC
This 499-nucleotide long non-coding RNA is filed under the name Chrysolophus pictus (golden pheasant). RNAcentral describes it as "lncRNA (ENSCPIG00010000343.1)". The record is from RNAcentral. Lineage: Eukaryota; Metazoa; Chordata; Aves; Galliformes; Phasianidae.